Molecule: transfer RNA, 76 nt
Filed under: Acidithiobacillus ferrooxidans ATCC 23270
Lineage: Bacteria; Pseudomonadati; Pseudomonadota; Acidithiobacillia; Acidithiobacillales; Acidithiobacillaceae
Description: tRNA-Gln
Rfam family: tRNA
About the family: Transfer RNA (tRNA) molecules are approximately 80 nucleotides in length. Their secondary structure includes four short double-helical elements and three loops (D, anti-codon, and T loops). Further hydrogen bonds mediate the characteristic L-shaped molecular structure. tRNAs have two regions of fundamental functional importance: the anti-codon, which is responsible for specific mRNA codon recognition, and the 3' end, to which the tRNAs corresponding amino acid is attached (by aminoacyl-tRNA synthetases). tRNAs cope with the degeneracy of the genetic code in two manners: having more than one tRNA (with a specific anti-codon) for a particular amino acid; and 'wobble' base-pairing, i.e. permitting non-standard base-pairing at the 3rd anti-codon position.
Source: RNAcentral
UUGGGAAGUCGUCUAGUGGUAGGACGCCUGGCUCUGACCCAGGCAACCGGGGUUCGAGGCCCUGCUUCCCAGCCAA